CCGGAGCUUGCUCCACCGGAAAAAGAAGAGUGGCGAACGGGUGAGUAACACGUGGGUAACCUGCCCAUCAGAAGGGGAUAACACUUGGAAACAGGUGCUAAUACCGUAUAACAAUCGAAACCGCAUGGUUUUGAUUUGAAAGGCGCUUUCGGGUGUCGCUGAUGGAUGGACCCGCGGUGCAUUAGCUAGUUGGUGAGGUAACGGCUCACCAAGGCCACGAUGCAUAGCCGACCUGAGAGGGUGAUCGGCCACAUUGGGACUGAGACACGGCCCAAACUCCUACGGGAGGCAGCAGUAGGGAAUCUUCGGCAAUGGACGAAAGUCUGACCGAGCAACGCCGCGUGAGUGAAGAAGGUUUUCGGAUCGUAAAACUCUGUUGUUAGAGAAGAACAAGGAUGAGAGUAACUGUUCAUCCCUUGACGGUAUCUAACCAGAAAGCCACGGCUAACUACGUGCCAGCAGCCGCGGUAAUACGUAGGUGGCAAGCGUUGUCCGGAUUUAUUGGGCGUAAAGCGAGCGCAGGCGGUUUCUUAAGUCUGAUGUGAAAGCCCCCGGCUCAACCGGGGAGGGUCAUUGGAAACUGGGAGACUUGAGUGCAGAAGAGGAGAGUGGAAUUCCAUGUGUAGCGGUGAAAUGCGUAGAUAUAUGGAGGAACACCAGUGGCGAAGGCGGCUCUCUGGUCUGUAACUGACGCUGAGGCUCGAAAGCGUGGGGAGCAAACAGGAUUAGAUACCCUGGUAGUCCACGCCGUAAACGAUGAGUGCUAAGUGUUG
This 773-nucleotide ribosomal RNA is filed under the name Enterococcus sp. FBPers-11_16-10. RNAcentral's name for it is "bacterial SSU rRNA". It matches the Rfam family "Bacterial small subunit ribosomal RNA", at positions 73 to 825 of the family's 1533-position model. Lineage: Bacteria; Bacillati; Bacillota; Bacilli; Lactobacillales; Enterococcaceae. The record is from RNAcentral.